GUGCUGAUGAGCUGUGAUGUAACUGAUCUGGUAUUGCUGCUCCCAGGAGCAGCUCUGACCAGGACAUGACUCAGUUAAUCUUCUCUCUGAGCCG
This is a small nucleolar RNA of Osmerus eperlanus (European smelt), 94 nucleotides long. RefSeq annotates it as Z30 small nucleolar RNA. The record is from RefSeq and is a predicted model, not a curated record. Lineage: Eukaryota; Metazoa; Chordata; Actinopteri; Osmeriformes; Osmeridae. The transcript has a single exon.